AACAGGAAGAAGCUUGCUUCUUUGCUGACGAGUGGCGGACGGGUGAGUAAUGUCUGGGAAACUGCCUGAUGGAGGGGGAUAACUACUGGAAACGGUAGCUAAUACCGCAUAACGUCGCAAGACCAAAAAGGGGGACCUUCGGGCCUCUUGCCAUCGGAUGUGCCCAGAUGGGAUUAGCUAGUAGGUGGGGUAACGGCUCACCUAGGCGACGAUCCCUAGCUGGUCUGAGAGGAUGACCAGCCACACUGGAACUGAGACACGGUCCAGACUCCUACGGGAGGCAGCAGUGGGGAAUAUUGCACAAUGGGCGCAAGCCUGAUGCAGCCAUGCCGCGUGUAUGAAGAAGGCCUUCGGGUUGUAAAGUACUUUCAGCGGGGAGGAAGGGAGUAAAGUUAAUACCUUUGCUCAUUGACGUUACCCGCAGAAGAAGCACCGGCUAACUCCGUGCCAGCAGCCGCGGUAAUACGGAGGGUGCAAGCGUUAAUCGGAAUUACUGGGCGUAAAGCGCACGCAGGCGGUUUGUUAAGUCAGAUGUGAAAUCCCCGGGCUCAACCUGGGAACUGCAUCUGAUACUGGCAAGCUUGAGUCUCGUAGAGGGGGGUAGAAUUCCAGGUGUAGCGGUGAAAUGCGUAGAGAUCUGGAGGAAUACCGGUGGCGAAGGCGGCCCCCUGGACGAAGACUGACGCUCAGGUGCGAAAGCGUGGGGAGCAAACAGG
This 716-nucleotide ribosomal RNA is filed under the name uncultured Escherichia sp. RNAcentral's name for it is "bacterial SSU rRNA". It matches the Rfam family "Bacterial small subunit ribosomal RNA", at positions 65 to 776 of the family's 1533-position model. The record is from RNAcentral. Lineage: Bacteria; Pseudomonadati; Pseudomonadota; Gammaproteobacteria; Enterobacterales; Enterobacteriaceae.